Long non-coding RNA from Erigeron canadensis, 1002 nucleotides. RefSeq lists it as uncharacterized. Lineage: Eukaryota; Viridiplantae; Streptophyta; Magnoliopsida; Asterales; Asteraceae. The record is from RefSeq and is a predicted model, not a curated record. The transcript is spliced from 2 exons.
CCAAUAACUCACAAAAUACAAUAACAAGAAGAAACAAAACAGAAGGUAAGUUCCAAACUUAGUUACAUGGCUCGUUCACAUCACCAUGGUUUCCAUUGCGUCUGAGUUGAAUCUUCCUUUCCUAACCUCGCCAGCUCACCUCGAUCCAUUCGAAUGUACAAAGUUUAUUCUCAGAAUCUCAGAAUAGGAAAACAGGGAAGGCAAUUUCCAAGAUCAUCCAGAAAAAGCAUUCAUGCACCUAAAUAAGGAAUAUCUUUGUGAUGCAAGCUCGGAUACAAACAGACCAGUUCCCCAUGGUUUCGAUGAUAUGGUAUAUAUGUAUUUAACUUAUAAUAUAUUAACGGCUCACAGAUUCUUAUUGACCAAGAUUUCCCAGUAGCCGCUCAACCGCAGCAUGAACAUUACCUGCGGUGGCUGUCAGUGCUUGAAGAUUCUCCCGGGUAUCGAAAAAACCCAUUUCUUGAAGUUGUGCAAGCUGGGUGGCAUACAGUUCUUCCGGAGGCACUAAUAAUUAAAGAAAAGAAAAGCUGUCAGUUUAUGGAUAAUAAUAAAUGACGGUCUGAUAAAUUGAUGGUGAGUUUCAAUACCAUUUGAGGGGUUCGGUGUUGAAAAGCCUCCGGUUCCAAGGCCGCCAAACAUGUUCAUAAGCAUAUCCAGAUUCAUGUUAUUGGGAGAACCUGCGAUUUCCACACAGAAAAAGUAUCACAAACCGUCUGUACUAGGGUUCACAUGUUACCCAGAAGAUGAGAAAGAAAACUUGAAUUAUAUAUAUAAACCUGUUGCUCCUCCAGUUUGACCAAUAUCUCUGCAUACAGAAACAGCAACUUGAUAUUAAACCAUGAACUGCAAUGUAAGGAAUAAUUCUAGAAGGAACCCGACACAAAGUUUCUAGAAAAAGUUAUAUAAGCAAUGAUUUAAAGUUGACUUUAUGUGAUCUUGUAUAAGUUGCAUUUACUUUGAAGAUACGAGAUUAUAUUAAAAUCUUCACUUUUCUCUUUUGAA